This 1481-nucleotide long non-coding RNA is filed under the name Canis lupus familiaris (dog). Its description in RNAcentral is "lncRNA (ENSCAFG00030023933.1)". Lineage: Eukaryota; Metazoa; Chordata; Mammalia; Carnivora; Canidae. The record is from RNAcentral.
AUGGAAUCAUUAACUUUCAAGGAUCUCCAGUAUUGCUUCAAGAGCUCCACUCUAGUAAUUAUCCAACUUCUUGUUUUCUCACUCCUUCAGCCCAUCCGCCACCCUGCUCUGCCUAGUUUGUUGAAAUGUAAGGGCAAUCUGGCUAUUUUUACUUUGUUGAUACACAGUGCAGACCAGGAGAGUCUAGCUAACAAUUUUAAUGCCAUUUUCCCUACUUCCCUUUUCAUACGUGAUCCUCCAGAAGCUGUUUUUCCUUUGCCCAUGAUGAUGAUGACUUUCCUCCGAAGAGAACUUUUCAUUAGGCAAGAAAGGACUCAACUCAGAGUAACCCACUAAGGACAGGAAGAGCAACCUAAGUACCAGGUCGCAGCAUCUGCCUCAAUCUCAAACCCAACUUCAGGAGUAUCAGAAGAAUGAAGAAUUGCCACUGCUUUCAGGCAGGUGAUUUAUUAGGCAGACUGAUUUUGGUCUAAGUUAGUAAUAGAAACAUGUUAUCUGUCCCUUCCUGAAAAACUCCUCCAUGUGAAAACUUCAUUUAACCCAUUUUUAGAUGUCCUGAUUUCUUUCAUGACUCUACAUUUUUGUGGUAAAACCUCUCCAACUGCCUCUCCACAUCCUCCCCCAGGAUGGACCUCACUAGACAGUAUAUGGCUCUGCCUCCAAUUACGGUUUACUUCAUUUGGCAUUGGAUUUUUCUCAUCACAGUGUCAUUUGAAUCAGGUGAGAUGAUACAUAUUUCCCAAAGGAGUCCAAACAGUGUAUGCACGUGUGUUGCAACCUUUAUUGCAAACACUACCUGAUUUCCCUCUCACCAUGUUCUUCCUUAACCUCAUUCAUGUCAUUAAAAUACAAACAUUUCACAGCUCUGCCUGCUUUCUUUCCCUGUUUUAUCUCUUUCAACUAAAGUUUUAUACAUUAAAUUUAUUAAAUAAUCCUGAAGUGUUUUCCUCAUUUUAGAAGCAACAAAUACAUGUGAUCAUUAUCUAUUUCUUCCUCACUCUUCUCCUUCACCACAUUGUCUCCCCAUUUCAGGUAAUCUAUUAAUGUCCAAACAUGCAUCCUUUCAUAUUUUCUCUAUGCUUAUAUCAUAUACAUAAGUAUAUAUGCACAUGUACAUUUAAUAUAUAAAGAGAUUUUGGGGCAGAGGGUAAUCCUUGGUUUUAGAAAAAUCAUGUCUCAUAUGUUUUUCUGAAUCUUGUUCUUCUCAACAGUACCUCAUGAAAAUCAUGUCAAAUAACUGGAAUCACUUUAACUCAAUCUUUAAAAUGUCUGCAUAGUAUUUCAUGGUGACAUGACUUAGUUAUUCCCCUUACUAAUAGGUAUUUCAUUUACCUUUUUUGUUGUUGACAUUUCAUAUGCACAACAAUAAAUUUGUUUAAAUAUAAGGAUUUAAGUAUGUAUAUCAUUUUAUGAUAGAGUAGUUAAUUUUUAUGGGAUACCUAUGGCAUAUUCACAGAUUCACAGCUUUACAAAAAGUGAUA